AGUAAAGUCAGCUAAUUUAGCUUUCGGGCCCAUACCCCGAAAAUUUUGGUAUCCAAAUCCUUCCUAUACUA
This 71-nucleotide transfer RNA is filed under the name Strophurus strophurus (Western spiny-tailed gecko). Its description in RNAcentral is "tRNA-Met". Lineage: Eukaryota; Metazoa; Chordata; Lepidosauria; Squamata; Diplodactylidae. The record is from RNAcentral.